This 90-nucleotide transfer RNA is filed under the name Aureobasidium subglaciale EXF-2481. It matches the Rfam family "tRNA". Rfam says of the family: Transfer RNA (tRNA) molecules are approximately 80 nucleotides in length. Their secondary structure includes four short double-helical elements and three loops (D, anti-codon, and T loops). The record is from Rfam by way of RNAcentral. Lineage: Eukaryota; Fungi; Ascomycota; Dothideomycetes; Dothideales; Saccotheciaceae.
GCCGGGGUAGCUCAAUCGGUAGAGCGUGUGGCUCUUAUCUACUGUAUAAGCACAACCUCAAGGUCGAGGGUUCGAGCCCCUCCUUCGGCU